GAUGAACGCUGGCGGCGUGCCUAAUACAUGCAAGUCGAGCGAACGGACGAGAAGCUUGCUUUUCUGAUGUUAGCGGCGGACGGGUGAGUAACACGUGGAUAACCUACCUAUAAGACUGGGAUAACUUCGGGAAACCGGAGCUAAUACCGGAUAAUAUUUUGAACCGCAUGGUUCAAAAGUGAAAGACGGUCUUUCUGUCACUUAUAGAUGGAUCCGCGCUGCAUUAGCUAGUUGGUAAGGUAACGGCUUACCAAGGCAACGAUGCAUAGCCGACCUGAGAGGGUGAGCGGACACACUGGAACUGAGACACGGUCCAGACGCCUACGGGAGGCAGCAGUAGGGAAUCUUCCGCAAUGGGCGAAAGCCUGACGGAGCAACGCCGCGUGAGUGAUGAAGGUCUUCGGAUCGUAAAACUCUGUUAUUAGGGAAGAACAUAUGUGUAAGUAAAUGUGCACAUCUUGACGGUACCUAAUCAGAAAGCCACGGCUAACUACGUG
Molecule: ribosomal RNA, 497 nt
Filed under: uncultured bacterium
Lineage: Bacteria
Description: partial 16S ribosomal RNA
Rfam family: Bacterial small subunit ribosomal RNA
Source: RNAcentral